GACUUCGGUACGCCAAUGGGCAGAGCGGCCCCGGGAAACCGGGGUGGUUUGUGGGUUCGACUCCCACCCCAGGUCG
This 76-nucleotide transfer RNA is filed under the name Planctomycetia bacterium. Its description in RNAcentral is "tRNA-Phe". The record is from RNAcentral. Lineage: Bacteria; Pseudomonadati; Planctomycetota; Planctomycetia.